Molecule: long non-coding RNA, 457 nt
Organism: Mytilus californianus (California mussel)
Lineage: Eukaryota; Metazoa; Mollusca; Bivalvia; Mytilida; Mytilidae
Exons: 3
Source: RefSeq, a predicted model, not a curated record
AGCAGUAUGCAACUGUUUAUGUUAUACAAAGCAGUACAGACAAUUACAGAAAUGGGGCCAAUUGAUGCACUAACUGGUAAUUCAAAGAAUACCAUUGCAGAAGAGAAGCUAUUGAAAAUGCGGAUCGAACAUCAAAAUCUUACAUUACAAAUAGAUUUGAAUGGAAAUAGUGACCAGCAUUAUCCUGUGAAAGUUCUUGACUGUGAUACAAUAUCACAGGUCAAAAAGAAAUGGUGUGCGCAGAUUUAUAUAAACAAACCUGCUUCAGAAAUACCGCACAAUGAUGAACUAUAUUUAGAAUGGCAAGAAGGAAGGGCAGGAAAACUUACACUGAAUGAUAUUGACAACACCAGUGAAAAAAACAAUGGACUGGUUUGUCUAAAUACUUUGAAGCAUUAUAUGGUGAACAACAACAGUAAAAUGGCCCUUAUGUACAAGCCUCAUGUUGAAGAGGAUG